Molecule: transfer RNA, 75 nt
Filed under: Oscillospiraceae bacterium
Lineage: Bacteria; Bacillati; Bacillota; Clostridia; Eubacteriales; Oscillospiraceae
Description: tRNA-Thr
Rfam family: tRNA
About the family: Transfer RNA (tRNA) molecules are approximately 80 nucleotides in length. Their secondary structure includes four short double-helical elements and three loops (D, anti-codon, and T loops). Further hydrogen bonds mediate the characteristic L-shaped molecular structure. tRNAs have two regions of fundamental functional importance: the anti-codon, which is responsible for specific mRNA codon recognition, and the 3' end, to which the tRNAs corresponding amino acid is attached (by aminoacyl-tRNA synthetases). tRNAs cope with the degeneracy of the genetic code in two manners: having more than one tRNA (with a specific anti-codon) for a particular amino acid; and 'wobble' base-pairing, i.e. permitting non-standard base-pairing at the 3rd anti-codon position.
Source: RNAcentral
GCUUCCGUGGCUCAGGGGUAGAGCAGCUCACUCGUAAUGAGCAGGUCGUCGGUUCAAAUCCGACCGGAAGCUCCA